GGCAUGGCGGGGUGCUUACCAUGCAAGUCGUACGAGAACGCUUCAGCUUGCUGAAGCUAGUAAAGUGGCGCACGGGUGAGUAACGCGUGGGUAAUCUACCUCCGAAUUGGGGAUAACGUUGCGAAAGCGACGCUAAUACCGGAUAAUAUCAUAAGGGCUUUGGUCCUUUUGAUCAAAGGUGGCCUCUCCUUGGAAGCUAUUGUUUGGAGAUGAGCCCGCGUCCCAUUAGCUUGUUGGUGGGGUAAUGGCCUACCAAGGCGACGAUGGGUAGCUGGUCUGAGAGGAUGAUCAGCCACACUGGAACUGACACACGGUCCAGACUCCUACGGGAGGCAGCAGUGAGGAAUUUUGCGCAAUGGGGGAAACCCUGACGCAGCAACGCCGCGUGAGUGAUGAAGGCUUUCGGGUCGUAAAGCUCUGUCAAGUGGGAAGAACCGCUUUGAGGUUAAUACCCUCGAGGCUUGACGGUACCACUGAAGGAAGCACCGGCUAACUCCGUGCCAGCAGCCGCGGUAAUACGGGGGGUGCAAGCGUUAUUCGGAUUUACUGGGCGUAAAGCGCGCGUAGGCGGCCGUUUAAGUCAGAUGUGAAAGCCCGGGGCUCAACCCCGGAAGUGCAUUUGAUACUAUUCGGCUUGAGUAUGGGAGAGGGAAGUGGAAUUCCUGGUGUAGAGGUGAAAUUCGUAGAUAUCAGGAGGAACACCGGUGGCGAAGGCGACUUCCUGGACCAAUACUGACGCUGAGGCGCGAAGGCGUGGGGAGCAAACAGGAUUAGAUACCCUGGUAGUCCACGCAGUAAACGGUGAUCACUAGUGUAGCGGUAUUGACCCCUGCUGUGCGCAGCUAACGCAUUAAGUGAUCGCUGGGGAGUACGGCGCAAGUAAACUCAAGGAUGACGGGGCCGCACAGCGUGAGCAUGUGUAUAUCGACGCACGCGAGACUACUGAUUUGACAUCUCGGAUCUAUGAAAUAGACGUGCUCGGGAGCGAUGACUGUGCUGCAUGGCUGCGUCAGCUCGGUCUGAAUGUAGUUAGUCCGCACGAAGCACCUCUAGUACAGACUUCGUUGGACUAAGAACUGCUGGCUACGGGGAAUGAGCAUGACCUAGCUUAGCUAGCAGGUACACUGGUUCCAAUGGCGAGU
Molecule: ribosomal RNA, 1142 nt
Filed under: uncultured bacterium
Lineage: Bacteria
Description: bacterial SSU rRNA
Rfam family: Bacterial small subunit ribosomal RNA
Source: RNAcentral